Molecule: ribosomal RNA, 885 nt
Filed under: Triticum aestivum (bread wheat)
Lineage: Eukaryota; Viridiplantae; Streptophyta; Magnoliopsida; Poales; Poaceae
Description: partial small subunit ribosomal RNA
Source: RNAcentral
AUGGCCCUCUUUGAGGAGUUCUAUGUUGGCACCAUCGACCUCCACCGCCUUAAUUAUGGGAUCAUCACACUAAUCCCCAAGGUCACCGGCGCUUCGGACAUCCCCCAGUUCCGUCCUAUCACAGUGAUCAACGCGAUCUUCCGCAUCCUAGCAAAGGGGUACGCUAAUAGGGUGACCCCUUUGGCCGAUCGCAUUACCCACCCCGACCAGUCGACAUUCAUCCAAGGCCAAUAUAUCCUCAAUGGGGUCCUAGUCUUUCAGGAGGUCCUCCAUGAGGUCCGAUCCAAACACCUCAAGGCCGUCUUCCUGAAAAUUGACUUCCACAAAGCCUAUGACACGGUCAGUUGGUCCUUCCUUCGGGAAGUGUUGCUCCAAAAAGGGUUCAACGACCGUUGGGUCACCCGGAUCAUGCAGAUGGUCUCGUCCAAACAAACCACGGUUAACAUCAAUGGUGAGAUCGGCCCCUACUUCCCCAUCUUAAGUGGGGUUAGGCAGGGCAACCCCUUCUCCCAUUUCCCAUUCAACAUGGUGGUCGAUGCAUUGGCUACUAUCCGUGACAAGGCUAAAGCUGCAGGCCACAUCCACGGUGUAGUGUCGCAUCUUGUGGAGGGAAGUGGUGUGUCCCUCCUUCAGUAUGCCGACGAUACCAUCAUUAUGGUGGAGGGCUCCACAUCCGAUAUCACGAACCUGAAAUUCCUCCUACUCUGCUUUCAGCAAAUGUCUGGCCUCAAAAUCAACUUCGAUAAGAGCGAAGUGAUGGUGAUGGGCUACUGCCCACUGAGAGCCAGAAUAUCACUGACCGCCUCAAUUGUCAGCUGGGCUCCUUCCCCACCACCUACCCGAGGAUUCCCAUUAGUGACUCUCGGCUCUCCGUGGCGGACCUGA